CCUACGGGAGGCAGCAGUGAGGAAUAUUGGUCAAUGGUCGGGAGACUGAACCAGCCAAGCCGCGUGAGGGAUGAAGGUACAGAGUAUCGUAAACCUCUUUUGUCAGGGAACAAAGGCGGGGACGUGUCCCCGGAUGAGUGUACCUGAAGAAAAAGCAUCGGCUAACUCCGUGCCAGCAGCCGCGGUAAUACGGAGGAUGCGAGCGUUAUCCGGCUUUAUUGGGUUUAAAGGGUGCGCAGGCGGUCUGUUCAGUCAGCGGUCAAAGCCCGGGGCUCAACCCCGGCCCGCCGUUGAAACUGGCAGUCUCGAGUUGGAGAGAAGUAUGCGGAAUGCGCGGUGUAGAGGUGAAAGGCAUAGAUAGCGCGCAGAACUCCGAUUGCGAAGGCAGCAUGCCGGCUCCACACUGACGCUGAGGCACGAAAGCGUGGGUAUCGAACAGGAUUAGAUACCCCAGUAGUC
This 459-nucleotide ribosomal RNA is filed under the name uncultured bacterium. RNAcentral's name for it is "partial 16S ribosomal RNA". It matches the Rfam family "Bacterial small subunit ribosomal RNA", at positions 338 to 795 of the family's 1533-position model. The record is from RNAcentral.